Molecule: ribosomal RNA, 275 nt
Filed under: uncultured Singulisphaera sp.
Lineage: Bacteria; Pseudomonadati; Planctomycetota; Planctomycetia; Isosphaerales; Isosphaeraceae
Description: partial 16S ribosomal RNA
Rfam family: Bacterial small subunit ribosomal RNA
Source: RNAcentral
CCUACGGGCGGCUGCAGUCGAGAAUCUUCGGCAAUGGGCGCAAGCCUGACCGAGCGACGCCGCGUGGAGGACGAAGGCCCUCGGGUUGUAAACUCCUGUCGAGGGGGAGCAAGGCUCCGCGAAGAGCGGCGCUUGAGCGAUCCCUGGAGGAAGCACGGGCUAAGUUCGUGCCAGCAGCCGCGGUAAGACGAACCGUGCGAACGUUAUUCGGAAUCACUGGGCUUAAAGCGCGUGUAGGCGGCCCGGCACGUCCGCCGCUGAAAGACCCCGGCUCA